Long non-coding RNA from Passer montanus (Eurasian tree sparrow), 1010 nucleotides. RefSeq lists it as uncharacterized. NCBI's taxonomy places the organism in Eukaryota, Metazoa, Chordata, Aves, Passeriformes, Passeridae. The record is from RefSeq and is a predicted model, not a curated record. The transcript is spliced from 4 exons.
CCGGGAGUCGCCAAUGGAGAACUUGUCAUAGUAGGCAUAUGCUGCCUCCUGACCAUCCCUCAUGUCUAUUCGCAGCUCGUAGCGCCCUUGGGAUGUGAUCUUGUGGAUGUUGUCCAAGCCUGUCGAGACAGUGAAACACCCAGUGAGGCCUGGGGCCGGAUCCGCUCCGUGAACAAACAAGGAAAGCUCUAGGCAAAUAAAACAGUAGUGGGAAAUGAGAGCAAGGAGAGGAAUCAAAGAGCAGCAGCACUUGUGGUUUCCAAAGCCAACCCGGUAAUCUGCCCAUUUCCGGAAGAAAUCGGUCAGCCCGUUCUGCCGCCGCUGGAAGACCUGAUGUGGAGGAAGACCAGGAGGAAAAUCACAGUGAUGGAAAUGAGAAACAGCUUUGCCAGGCUUUGGACACACAAGCAGGUGAAGAGACCUUUGAAGAGACCAAUGUAAUUGAGAUGGAGAAGUGUAUCCAGCGCUGAUUCAAAGAAAAUUCUCCUAAUUUAAGAAUUAAACUGGCAGCACAGAUGGGAGGAAUUUUGGUGGACAUCAUCUGGAGACUUCUCAGUACUGUUGAUGCCCAGGAAAAAUAUGAUUGGAUUGAGCCCUGAACAAGAUGCAUUCUGUCUGGGAGGAACCCAGGACAGCAGGGCGCUCCGUCGCGUGACCUCGCUGGCUGUCAGAUUUGUUGGAGGAUCCAAAACUGCAAGAGUGGACAGGGACACAGGGAAGAGCAGUUUCUCACGCAACCACCUCAACCCUGCUUCCCGACACAGUACACCGGGAUUCAACCUUGCAGCACUGAGCCACAGCCCAAAGACCAUCUUCACCCUCAGUUUCAAGACCUCAUCACCCAUCCCCAGUCUUGAACAAAGUUCUGCAAACCCUCUAGAGGUCCUUUUCUACCUGUGUGCCACCUUAAGGGUCACAGCUGUGAAAUUCAUGUGCUAUGGGACCUGUCAAGCAAAAUGGGUUGUCGUGUUCUUCUGGACUAUGGCCUUGGGCAAAAAAAAGACCUGGUC